This 482-nucleotide ribosomal RNA is filed under the name uncultured bacterium. RNAcentral's name for it is "partial 16S ribosomal RNA". It matches the Rfam family "Bacterial small subunit ribosomal RNA", at positions 30 to 507 of the family's 1533-position model. The record is from RNAcentral.
AUUGAACGCUGGCGGCAUGCCUUACACAUGCAAGUCGAACGGUAACAGGUCUUCGGAUGCUGACGAGUGGCGCACGGGUGCGUAAUACAUCGGAACGUGCCCGAUCGUGGGGGAUAACGAAGCGAAAGCUUUGCUAAUACCGCAUACGAUCUACGGAUGAAAGCAGGGGACCGCAAGGCCUUGCGCGAACGGAGCGGCCGAUGGCAGAUUAGGUAGUUGGUGGGAUAAAAGCUUACCAAGCCGACGAUCUGUAGCUGGUCUGAGAGGACGACCAGCCACACUGGGACUGAGACACGGCCCAGACUCCUACGGGAGGCAGCAGUGGGGAAUUUUGGACAAAGGGCGAAAGCCUGAUCCAGCCAUGCCGCGUGCAGGAUGAAGGCCUUCGGGUUGUAAACUGCUUUUGUACGGAACGAAAAGACUCUGGUUAAUACCUGGGGUCCAUGACGGUACCGUAAGAAUAAGCACCGGCUAACUACGUG